UGAUCGGAAAUCAGGCGGGAGGACCCGCUGAACUUAA
RNAcentral lists this ribosomal RNA (37 nucleotides) under Mucor plumbeus. Its description in RNAcentral is "partial 26S ribosomal RNA". The record is from RNAcentral. Lineage: Eukaryota; Fungi; Mucoromycota; Mucoromycetes; Mucorales; Mucoraceae.